Salvelinus sp. IW2-2015 is the source of this 1388-nucleotide non-coding RNA. Lineage: Eukaryota; Metazoa; Chordata; Actinopteri; Salmoniformes; Salmonidae. The record is from RefSeq and is a predicted model, not a curated record.
CCCUCCUCGUCCCUCCACGGGGAUCCCAGUGCCAGGCUUGUUUCAAUAAGUCCCCUUUAUUGUAUAGACACAGCGAGAGGGCUUUGAGCCAGCCCAUUCAGCCUGGGCUUCCCAUAGGAUUACAUAUCUAAAUAUAUGGAAGUAAAAGUGGCCCGGGCAGCCACCAGGGCCACUGUGUCUGAGUCUGAGUGUCCUGGUCGCAGAGAGCCCAGCUGAGAGGUCAGGCGUCGAGCGAGUAGGUGCCAUGGUGUGAGAUACCGUCAUGUCUGCCUGGUGAAGUGAGGGAGGGAGACGGGAGAGGAGAUGGAAUGGAAAAUGGCCCUGGCUGUUUGCACCAUGUGGAGAGGACACCUAGCCACUCUCCAUAUCCUCAGGGCUACUGGGGUCAAGACAUUAAAGCUAGGGGUGAGAUAGCUGUCCCUCUCUGACUGGAGCUCUUUGAUGACGUGAGGAAAGCCUUUGUGUGUGUGUAAUAGCCAGGAGGACCCGGAUAAACAGGCCCUUUCUGUCCACUAAAAGCCUUUGUUGUCUGGGCUGUGUGGAGAUGGAGGGGUGGAGGGUUAAGGCGUCCGCAUGCUGCCCAUCCGGAACAGUUCGUGCACAUAAUAUGGAAACAUUUUGUGCCGUUAUAGUCUUCGGCAAGUUUUUGUUUGACUGUUUGUGCAUACAAUAUUUUUUCUCGAGGCAAGACCGAAAUUCGGUUGCCGAKGUCUACGCUCCUUCGGCGGUGAUUGGUCAACUGUAGGGGGCGAAGAUUCAGCCCGGAACCCAUUGUGGAUUCAAAAUGGCAAAUGACAACAACUACAAUAGUUGGUGGGGGUUCUUGCAGAAACAUAACUGGCCAACUGAAUCAUUUGGAUUUGAAUUUGAAAGGACAGCAGGUGCAGGAACUUAACUGAAAAAUAAAAUGGACCCAAUUCAAUAGAUAUCAAUCAACAAAGAGGUAUACAGACGAGGAUUCAUACAAAGGUAUUUCUAUUGGUAUUGGUAUGUUAUGCAGAUCACAUUUACCAUCCUCCUCCCUUACCUCUUCAAUAUAAAUCCCAUAGGCCUCUACAUUAUGAACAAGGCCCUGACACCUAUAGCUGAUUUCAUGGAUGACCUAUCGCCAAAACUAUCACCAGCUGCAUGAGUUCGUGCAUGACUUCAAGAAGAGGACAUGGACCAAACGACUGGGAACACAGUGAAAUGAACAACUUGUUCUGUUGAUGUUCAGAUAUCUCAGGAGUCCAGCCUGGUCUCAUAGACUAGACGUAACAUAGUAAAUGUUAAUCCGGAACACUAAAAUGUGUACGUUAUGUCAGGUUUGGUUUGGUUACAUAAGACAGAUGGUUACUUAAGGCAAAAAAAAGAAAGCAGGGUGGUUGGUCGGGCAUAUUAACGCAAAC